UACGUAGGGUGCGAGCGUUAAUCGGAAUUACUGGGCGUAAAGCGUGCGCAGGCGGUUUUGUAAGCCAGGUGUGAAAUCCCCGGGCUCAACCUGGGAAUGGCAUUUGGGACUGCAAGGCUGGAGUGCGGCAGAGGAGACUGGAAUUCCUGGUGUAGCAGUGAAAUGCGUAGAUAUCAGGAGGAACACCGAUGGCGAAGGCAGGUCUCUGGGCUGACACUGACGCUCAUGCACGAAAGCGUGGGGAGCGAACAGG
RNAcentral lists this ribosomal RNA (253 nucleotides) under uncultured bacterium. Its description in RNAcentral is "partial 16S ribosomal RNA". It matches the Rfam family "Bacterial small subunit ribosomal RNA", at positions 524 to 776 of the family's 1533-position model. The record is from RNAcentral.